AUUUUGUUGAUGAUCUAGAUUAUUGUCAGGUGGCAUGUAUUUGCUUCGAUAGCCUUAUUCAACCUUGCGGUGGUAAUGAUGGAGAUAAAGGAAAUAAUGGGCAAAAGCAGAAAGUUUUAAAAAUGAUGGUGAAAAUGACAACAUUGACACCAUUCAUUAACUAGUUUUGUACUUUAAAGGUGUUUUUUUUUUAUGCGAAUUCUAGGCACUAGAAAUAAGGGCUUGCAGACAUUAGCGCUCUUCUGGUAAUGGAUGCCCUUUGUGCUCUCGCUUCUUUGCUCGUUAAAGUUGCAUAGAAAUACUUUGAUCUUAUG
This 314-nucleotide long non-coding RNA is filed under the name Coffea arabica (coffee). RNAcentral describes it as "long non-coding RNA (CARA_LNC002461)". Lineage: Eukaryota; Viridiplantae; Streptophyta; Magnoliopsida; Gentianales; Rubiaceae. The record is from RNAcentral.